RNAcentral lists this transfer RNA (67 nucleotides) under Euconocephalus pallidus. RNAcentral's name for it is "tRNA-Ile". Lineage: Eukaryota; Metazoa; Arthropoda; Insecta; Orthoptera; Tettigoniidae. The record is from RNAcentral.
AAUGAAGUGCCUGAUUAAAGGAUUACUGUGAUAGAGUAAAUCAUGUAAAUUUAACUUACCUUCAUUA